Molecule: ribosomal RNA, 440 nt
Filed under: uncultured bacterium
Lineage: Bacteria
Description: partial 16S ribosomal RNA
Rfam family: Bacterial small subunit ribosomal RNA
Source: RNAcentral
CCUACGGGAGGCAGCAGUGGGGAAUAUUGCACAAUGGGGGAAACCCGGAUGCAGCGACGCCGCGUGAGUGAAGAAGGAUUUCGGUAUGGAAAGCUCUAUCAGCAGGGAAGAAAAUGACGGUACCUGACUAAGAAGCCCCGGCUAACUACGUGCCAGCAGCCGCGGUAAUACGUAGGGGGCAAGCGUUAUCCGGAUUUACUGGGUGUAAAGGGAGCGUAGACGGCCAGACAAGUCAGAAGUGAAAGCCCCGGGCUCAACCCUGGGACUGCUUUUGAAACUGCCGGGCUGGAGUGCAGGAGAGGUAAGCGGACUUCCUGGUGUAGCGGUGAAAUGCGUAGAUAUUAGGUGGAACACCAGUGGCGAAGGCGGCUUACUGGACUGUAACUGACGUUGAGGCUCGAAAGCGUGGGGAGCAAACAGGAUUAGAUACCCCGGUAGUC